Molecule: long non-coding RNA, 512 nt
Organism: Liolophura sinensis
Lineage: Eukaryota; Metazoa; Mollusca; Polyplacophora; Chitonida; Chitonidae
Exons: 3
Source: RefSeq, a predicted model, not a curated record
CAGAGGGUUAUCAGAGGGUGGUAGGUAGAGCGGCGGAUACCCAUACAGACUGGUCAUCGUGACAGGAUACACCAUACAGGCUCUGGACCGGGGCUGCAGAAGUCAGCGGGUUUCCAUGGUGAUGGACUGAAAGAAAAAGAGAAAUGGUGAUGUACCUUGUGGGAAUAUUGGUUUUUAUGACAGAUCUGAGCCUUGGAGUGGAGAUUUUCCCCCCGUCACAGGAAGUGAUCAUACAAGCGAGGGUGGAAGAAGUCACUCUGCCAUGUAGCUACCAGUCUCAGGGGGCCGCGGUCCGUACACAGGCGACCAUCCACUGGACCCUCGGAGACCGUGACGGUCGACUGAUCCUCUCAGACCAGUACGCUAAUGGGGUCCCGGGAGGGCGAUUUUCCGGGCGAGUCCGGCUCGGUCAGCGGGCGGAUCUGAUCCUGGCUCAACCGAUGGUCUCAGACAGUGCCACAUACACGUGCUCUGUGCAUAUACCAACAGACACGAUUCCCACAGCCUGGGGA